UUUUUUUUUUUUUACAAUGACUAAGAGGCGAGAGGUAAACGUUAAUGACUCAUGUUUAUUGAUUGUACGGUAAAAAAAAUGUCUUAAAAGAUAAAAAUCACACACAGCAAAAUUAUCGCUACUACAGUAAAAGUAAUAUCUUUUUUUUUUCUUUUUGUGUUAAUUAAUUAACGGUCUAGAUUAAUUUGGCAAAAAUAGUUAUUUGUGAAAUAGGCAAAAAAAAAAGGUAAUUAGUCUUUUUUUUUUAUCCAGAGGUUAAAGAGCAAUAGACCAUACUCCUCGAUCUUAAAUCAUCGAGAUUAGGUUUUCACAAUCGGUGCCAAAAUCCUGAUACGUCGAUAUAUGUAGCAUGCACUCCAUUGCCCAUAAUAGCGCCUCAAGUUCCGAAUACCGUGAUUAAAUUCUUUUUCAUUGUUUCUUGCUCCCAAAAGUUGAAAUUCUCCUCUAGAAUUUUAUCAUGUCCAUCCACAACCAUUGAAGAGUGCGUCAUGUGUCCAUGAUCCAUCUAUCAUACAUCUCUCUGAGAUUGUUCAAAAGAUUGUUCAAAAGAUUGUCGCACCGAUGGUAUUUCUUCUUGUCUAUCGUUAGCAUUAAACCAAGCAAGACAUUCCAAUUCCGCGUGUCUUACAGUUUCCAAUGAGUCUCUCUGUCUAUCCAUCUGAGUAGUUUCAUCAUUUUUUGCUUUCUAUAUAUACCACAUAAUCCAAAGACGUGAUUGCUGCUAGAGAGCAUGUUUGUAAAGCCGGCGGGUAUUCAAAGAUGACAUUCAAAGAUGUUUAAUAGUUUCGGAUAAUGAUUAUCGCAUCAAAUAUGACGAUGAGUUAAGUUACUUGUCACAUCCAACUGUCCUGAUAUUGUUUGCCAUAUAAGAUGGUGUAUUUUCUGUGGAUCUUUUAUCUUCCAAGCAAAGGUUUGAAGUUUUGUAAUACGAGAUUCUGAAUAUUGCUGGUGUUUUGCAAUACCUUGUAACCCAAUUUUAUAGUAUGCAUACCACUCUUCGUAUAACUCCAACAAUAUUCAUCCAGCUGGUGGCCUUGACUUAUGACCAAGGACUGGAUCAGCGGAAUGUCCUCUCGACUGACAUAAUUGUCUAAUAGCUCUGUAUUCCAAAUUAUUUUCUCUCCAAUUAAGAGUUCACUUACUGACAUCAUUGGAUGAACUACUGGUACAAUAUAAGUAGAAGGACGUGCCAGCAUCGUUAGUAUCCAAAGAUCAUCCCAUACUUUGAUCUCAUUCCCUAAAUGUACCUUUUUGCAUAAUUCCUAAAGAAAUUAAUGGCUUCACAGCCAUUAUAGUUGUCCAUCCAUAAGAGGGAUUGUUUGUUCAGCCGCAAAGGCGAACUACAUCUGAAGUAUUUUCUGCUCAAAACUUUUGCUAAUAAGGAAUCUGAGAAUUGCACUAAUCUCCCCAAUUGUUUGCUAGCAGAACAAGAUUGAACUCAUGUAUCAGCCUAAACCCUAUCCCUCUUUUUUCUUUCGAUCUGCAGAGUUUUUCUCAUUUUUUCCAAUGUAUACUAUACCUCUCUUAGCUGGAUUUGAACUCUACCAAAACUGUAGAAUGUCAUUAGCUAAAUUCUCACAAGUCUCUAGAAGUAGUAGCAGAAUCGACAUGACAUACGUAGGUAGAACAAGAAAGAUAGACUUUAUCAUAACCUCCUUUCCACCCCUUGAUAACCAUUGCGAUGUCCAACCAUUAAUUUGGCUUUGUAGUUUUUGCUUAAGGAAAGCAAAUAAUUUUUCGUUUAGAGCCACUUAUGUCCUCUAGGAUCUCAAGAUAAGAUCUCAUUUUUCCUUUAUUUGCUAUUUUCGUUGAAGUUUUGAUUGCAUCCUUUCCAUGUCUGAAUAUCUUCUCACCAAAGAAUAAAGACAUUUCUUCGUAGUUAAUGCACUGUUCUGAGGCUUCUCCAGGAAUCUUAAUUGAUUUCAUGACUUCAUCGCAUUCAUGGAGUUGCGCUUUAAAAAAAAAAAUUAUCAGUAAAAAUAUAUUUGUAUAGUACUCUCAUCUUACAAAAAUAUAUUACGCUAUUUAUUAAAACAAAAUCAACAAAUUCCAAUUCAACGCAUGGUUCUUUGGCUUUUCUUUUCAGUUAUUUAAUUUCUUCAUAUUAUUCAUAUUCUUAUGUUUAUUAUAUUUGUCAUUUUCUUAUGUUUUUAUUCCCGUUAAUUUUUUAUUUAUAUUAUCUCAAACAUCUUUUGGUCUCUCUUACAUAAUUUAAUACUAUUAAACACAAAACUUACAAAUUGUGUAUUAGAAUUUAGGUUUCAGAUAUUUUUUACAUAUUUUUCUUUUAUUGCAAUAACUUGGUAAAGCAAUUUGUAUAUCUAAAUUUAUUGAUUAGAUGAUUGUAUUCUUCACCUCGUAAAAAAAAACUCCACGAUAAAAAUAUAUUUUUAUUUCAUAUGAUCCUUUAACUCUUCUCCUUUUUUUGUUAUUUUACCUUAUAUCUUUUCAUGUUUUUCAAUUUUUAUCCCACCUAUUUUCAUAUCAUAGGAUCAUUUUUUAUAUUUACCAAUUCACCUAAUAUUUCCCCUAAAUUUACUUUUUCCUUUUAAUUUUAUUGUGUUUUGAUUUACAGUUUAAUAUAUAUGUGUAUCCAUAAAUAUAAAUUUUAAGAAUAAAUACUAUUUAUAUUAAUAUUAAAGAAACUAUAAUAGUUUUGAUGUUGUAUUAGAUCAGCUAUUUAUAUUCUAUUAAUUUAGAGUCAUAUUUUUUAUUUACUGAUAAAAGUUGUCAUUUAUGGGCCAACAAUUCAUCUAUAUUAUUAAAAGAGAAGUACCCAUUAAAAAUACCCUUUAGUUUUUAAAUUUAAUUACACUUCCAUGCCACAGAGAAUUAAAUUGAAUUUCAUAUUUUAAUGUUUGUCCUUUUCAGUUAGAUUAAUGUGUUUUCCUUAAAUAAAUUUGAGUUAAAUGUAAUCUAUAUAUUAUUAAAAGAGAAGUACCCAUUAAAAAUACCCCUUGGUUUUUAAAUUUAAUUACACUUCCAUACCACUUAGAAUUAAAUUAAAUUUCCUAUUUUAAUGUUUGUCCUUUUCAGUUAGAUUACUGUGUUUUCCUUAAAUAAAUUUGAGUUAAAUGUAAUUAAAUCAACUUUAAAAUACACCUAUAUUAACAAACUAUCGAAACAAAUAUUAACAAACUAUUGAAACAACCUAAACUAUUAAAAACAAUUUAAAAUUUAGCUUACACGCUUUUGAUCUUAUAAUACGUAUAUAUUACCAUAUAUAAACAAAAUUAAUGCUUAUUACUUUAACUUACCAGUAAAAGUUUUUGCAUAUAUAUUAGAUGUGAUUCACUUAUGUUCAAUCAUUUUUAUUAUAAACUUUUUGGAAUAUUAUCAUCAAUUUUUUUGAUAAAAAAAAAGAAUAUUCCAGCAAUAUCAGCUUCAUAUUUUGAAUAUAAAAUUAACUUUAUUCCCAUGAUUUUAGUUAAAAGAGACGGGUCAAUUUAGAUCUCUUCCAAAUGGGUUAUUAGAAUAGUUGUAACUUUUGACCUAAACGCAUAAUAUACUAAUAAUACAUUUCAAUCAUACAAUUAAAUAUGAAAGAAAUGUCAAUAUAAAAUUUGAUCAAACAUAGUAUAUAUAUAUAUAUAUAUAUAUAUAUACAUACAUCCAAUCUUUUUGUAUAUUUACAUAACUGCUCCAACACACAUUUAAUAAAUAUAUAUAUAUAUAUAUAUAUAUAUAUA
Brassica napus (rape) is the source of this 3689-nucleotide long non-coding RNA. RefSeq lists it as uncharacterized. The record is from RefSeq and is a predicted model, not a curated record. The transcript has 2 exons. NCBI's taxonomy places the organism in Eukaryota, Viridiplantae, Streptophyta, Magnoliopsida, Brassicales, Brassicaceae.